GGGGGUGUGAGGGUUCCGGUGAAUUCCCCGGUCUUCAAAAUCGGCGGCGGGGGCGUGGCUUCCGCGAUGGGUUCGACUCCCAUACACUCCCG
This 92-nucleotide transfer RNA is filed under the name Anaerolinea sp. RNAcentral describes it as "tRNA-Sec". It matches the Rfam family "Selenocysteine transfer RNA". Lineage: Bacteria; Bacillati; Chloroflexota; Anaerolineae; Anaerolineales; Anaerolineaceae. RNAcentral also lists the same sequence under 1 other name. The record is from RNAcentral.